GAUGAAGAACGCAGUAAAAUGCGAUAAGUAAUGUGAAUUGCAGAAUUCAGUGAAUCAUCGAAUCUUUGAACGCACAUUGCGCCCGCUGGUAUUCCGGCGGGCAUGCCUGUUCGAGCGUCAUUUCAACCCUCAAGCCCCCGGGUUUGGUGUUGGGGAUCGGCUCUGCCCUUCUGGGCGGUGCCGCCCCCGAAAUACAUUGGCGGUCUCGCUGCAGCCUCCAUUGCGUAGUAGCUAACACCUCGCAACUGGAACGCGGCGCGGUCAUGCCGUAAAACCCCAACUUCUGAAUGUUGACCUCGGAUCAGGUAGGAAUACCCGCUGAACUUAAGCAUAUCAAUAAGCGGAGGA
Molecule: unclassified non-coding RNA, 348 nt
Filed under: soil metagenome
Description: partial contains 5.8S ribosomal RNA, internal transcribed spacer 2, and large subunit ribosomal RNA
Rfam family: 5.8S ribosomal RNA (bases 1-120)
Source: RNAcentral